Molecule: long non-coding RNA, 257 nt
Filed under: Coffea arabica (coffee)
Lineage: Eukaryota; Viridiplantae; Streptophyta; Magnoliopsida; Gentianales; Rubiaceae
Description: long non-coding RNA (CARA_LNC008100)
Source: RNAcentral
UAACAUGCAAUGUGAGUUGAUGUACAAUAGAAAAAAUGCAUUUUUUCACAAAAAACUUUAAAUGCCAUUUAGAAAGCUCCAUGAUAAAUCUCUCAAAACAAAACCAAAUUACAAAAGAUCUCUUCCUCUUUUUGGGAUCGAUAUCGAGGGAAAAGGGUCCUCUUCUCGUUGGCUCAUCUUUUAGGACCAAUCAAAUGGGUAUUACUCAUGAUUUUGAGGUGACUCAGGGAGAUGGUAUGUCAGGAUCUGUCUUUUUU